GUAUCAACACUUGUCCUCCCCUCUUGUUGCGCUUUCAAUUGAAAAAAUCUAGCCUUAUCGCUAGUGUGUAAUUUUAUAUGCUUAACUAAACUACCUGUGCCGCUACGAUCACCCGUAUACCUAUGAACAAGUAAUUUACCAAAAGAUUUACACUUAGCCUUAUCUUGAUCUCUUAGUUGAAUAAAAAAUUGCCAAACUAAUGAAGUUU
Molecule: long non-coding RNA, 208 nt
Filed under: Nicotiana benthamiana
Lineage: Eukaryota; Viridiplantae; Streptophyta; Magnoliopsida; Solanales; Solanaceae
Description: long non-coding RNA (NBEN_LNC000257)
Source: RNAcentral